Molecule: long non-coding RNA, 270 nt
Filed under: Elaeis guineensis (African oil palm)
Lineage: Eukaryota; Viridiplantae; Streptophyta; Magnoliopsida; Arecales; Arecaceae
Description: long non-coding RNA (EGUI_LNC042735)
Source: RNAcentral
UGGUGGAACCGCCAUCUUUCACCCUCCAACUCCCGAAGCCUCUUCCUCAGGACCUGGGCAUCCUUGAUCGCCUGCUGCUCGUGGGCCAGCUGAAUCUUCAGCCAUUGCAGUUCGGCCUUCUCCUGCCCAAGGGCCACAGACAGUUCUUCCAUGGUCCCCCUCAAGGAGCGGAGCUCGUUGGAGCCUUGUGCAGUGGUGGGCUGGACUCUCUCAGACAACUACCUCUGAAGGCAUGCAACUUCAUCGGUCACCAUCUUGAGCUUCCUUCGG